Molecule: ribosomal RNA, 253 nt
Filed under: uncultured bacterium
Lineage: Bacteria
Description: partial 16S ribosomal RNA
Rfam family: Bacterial small subunit ribosomal RNA
Source: RNAcentral
UACGAAGGGGGCUAGCGUUGUUCGGAAUGACUGGGCGUAAAGGGCGCGUAGGCGGCGAUCUUAGUCAGGCGUGAAAGCCCUGGGCUUAACCUAGGAAUUGCGUUUGAUACUGGGUUGCUGGAGUGCGGGAGAGGAUGGUGGAAUUCCCAGUGUAGAGGUGAAAUUCGUAGAUAUUGGGAAGAACACCGGUGGCGAAGGCGGCCAUCUGGACCGUUACUGACGCUGAGGCGCGAAAGCGUGGGGAGCAAACAGG